GAGACACCCCUACGGAACAGGACUUGCUUCAGUGUGACUUUGGUGCUCACUGAUUCUGUCCCUUGAAUGUGUCAUU
Molecule: microRNA precursor, 76 nt
Filed under: Myotis lucifugus (little brown bat)
Lineage: Eukaryota; Metazoa; Chordata; Mammalia; Chiroptera; Vespertilionidae
Description: mir-9229 microRNA precursor family
Rfam family: mir-9229 microRNA precursor family
Source: Rfam by way of RNAcentral